CUUUGAUCUAUUUGAUAAAAAAAAUAUAUUAAAUAACAAUUAAUUGAAAAUGAAUUGAUACAAACAAGUUUCUCACUGUUCAAACACAAUCCCCUGAAAAAGAUCAUCGUGCUGACAGUGGGGAAGCGAGUGUACAUACUGCUACAUUCACCGAUUUCAUGGUAAAUCGAGCGUUUCUUAGCCAUAGGAUCUGGUGUGCCCUUACGCAAGCCCAUUGUACACGAGUGCCUCCUGUGGUGUUACGGUAGAAUGAGAACACAACGCGGAUUGGUCCGCAGGUCGUCCUAUCUUCAAAAUAGCAUUACCAACGAUCAUAAUAGCUCAACCGGUGUGUUGUUGAUGUGGUAGUAUAUAAGGAAUUUGUGCUACGACGGGUAAACAAGAAAAGAAACGAAUAAACUAGCAAACGUUUCUCUAUCCAUUAAGACGAUACGUGGCAAAAGAGAUUAUAUACGUUUAUAUUUUUCGACAACAAGAAACAAGAAGAUAUACGAUUUGCUCAAUGUAGAUGUUCAGUGGAUGCCUGUUUUCAAGCUGGAAAUUUAUUUUAAUUUUGCAUGUUAUACGUCAUAGGAAGAUAUUUUACGAACUGUGAAUUACCCCGCGAAUAUUUUUUCAACAAAGCGAACAUUAAUACGAAACAGCAAUAAUCAACGAUGUAAAUUUAUUAUGUAUUAAUGUCUCGAUGUGAAAAUAAAAAUAAUCGAAACGAGGUUAGCGCAAAUAAGCUUCUUGACUCGAGACGGUUAUACUAUCGAAAAGUGCUACACAGAUAAGGGCCUUGAUAGGGUGGUACAGGCGAUGACGGUGAUUUAAUAUUUUUCUUGUUAUGAGUAUAAGCUCACUAGUUUAUUCUGAAAACAGUAGCCAAGCACUGCUUCGUGUCCUCGUGCAAAACCACCUGCUCGAAUGAACAACUAUCGCGGGUAUCGUCACAAUCUAGAUCUUACUUAUUUACUCAUAUAUUUAUUUGUUAAAUUUUUUUUCGGUUUUUCUAUUAUUUUUAAUGUUUAGUAAUUGAUAUCUUGUGCGCUGAAAAGUUAAAUAAUCUUUUAUUAAAUAACAACUCUGUUUGCAUAUUAUAUUUGCAUCGUUUCAUGUAGCAUUUUUAUCGUAUCAUUAAUCGAAAAUGAUGUUCAUAUAUGGAUUCAAAGCAAUUUGUUCAUAUAAAUUUUAUGUUAUUGUGAUAAAAUAAAUUUUUUAGGACACGAUCAUGAAAAUAACAUUUGGUUUUAUACGAAUUCCAGACGUAGUACAUUUGUAUUUAGUCCACAAACGUGACAGAGCAACAGAGAAAAGAAAAAAGCAAGUUCUAUGCAUUUACGUGAUUAUUUCGAGAAGUUAAGUCGCCGAGACGCAUCCGCGUCACUGAUGGAUCUCACUAACGAGCACAACUGAUGAUUGACAAAAUAUUCUCAGUAUGAGACCGAAUUUAGAGUUAAGACGAAAAAUUUUAAGAAAUGGACAAUAGAAAAAAGAAGUCAGCAUUCUUCGCGCUCGGAAGGUGUUGAAGUAGGUAUGCCAAGUUAAAUAUACGCGUAGGAUGCACAGGCAGGACAAAAAGCACUUCCUCUUGUCUGACGAGUAUACUUUGAAGACCGAACGUAGGUUUCAGUAAGCAGACAAAAUAAGAAUUUUUACUCCAUACGAGAAAGCAUUCUACUUUUUGAAUUAUUCUUUGUUCGUAUUACUAUAAUUUUUUAUUUAUCCACAUAUUUUCUUAUAAAUAUGCAAAUAUGUAUAGUAAAUAUGUUAUGCAAAACUUUAUUAUUAAAAAAAUUAAUAUAUGAACGUACUCUUUAAUAGAAAGAAGUAUCGAAAUUUUUACACUACGACAAUGGGACAGAAACAUUCUCAUGCUUGUGAGAUCAUGUACAAUCUUCUUGAAUGUAACCGUUUCUUGUUGAUACUGGCAAUGAGUUAUGUUGACACAACGCAACCUGUUCUGGCUCCUCGUUGAAUAUUAUGAACAUAUUAUGACAGAUAUGCCAUCCAAAGAUCAAGAAAAUUAGAUAGCACGUGCUACUUUGAAAAUUGGAUAACGGAUUUGACGAAGUCUAUGUAAGUGUGAUUCGCCGGUUUCUCUAACUGUGACGCUUGUUUAAAUCUCAAUUCCAACGUUUCAUGCACUCGCUGAGGGCCAAGAGUCUCCACUAAUAACUCGGAUCAAUGUGAAUCUCCGUGUCGAUCAAAAUCAAAGAUCUUCUUUGGAAAAGUCAAUACGUCAACAAACAAGGCGUCAGUUGAAUUUCGUCUGAACUUUGCACAAACACCGGAAAAUCCCAAUGUUAACUGAUAUCUCAGGUUAAAGAGGUUGAUGAAAUUUAUGAAGCCAGUGAGACACAAAACAAAAAAUCGAGACGGCUUUUUGUCGAAAUAUUCGGCAAUCUUUUGCAAACGGAUUUGAGCUGUGGCCAAUAUUAGAGCAAUAAAAAAGCUCAUCGGACUACUGUGGCUUGUUUCAAAGCGACGGUAAUGGGGCUUGAAAGCUGCCGGCUAGGAAAAGGAAGUAGAAGGAGAAAGGGGUGACGGUAAGAGGAAAAAAUCGGAGAAGAGACGAGAGACAUUCGUCUUCGAAGGCGUUCAACCGUUUGAUAGCGGAACCACCCAGCGUUAACAUUGCUUACUUCUUUCAGUAAAAGAAAUCGACUGCAACAGUCGGAAACCUUUAUUGAAAUGACAAUCGUAAAAAUUUGAAUUUCUAUGGAUUGAAAGAAUGUCAUCUAUGCAAAUAAACAUUGCAUGAUACAUUAAAUAAAAUAUUUUUUGAAAAUACAAUGAAAUAAGAUCGAAAUUGUAUCUUUUGAAU
Molecule: long non-coding RNA, 2809 nt
Filed under: Apis florea (little honeybee)
Lineage: Eukaryota; Metazoa; Arthropoda; Insecta; Hymenoptera; Apidae
Description: uncharacterized LOC105735279, transcript variant X2
Source: RNAcentral